ACGGGUGAGUAACACGUGGGAACGUGCCCUUCGGUUCGGAAUAACUCAGGGAAACUUGAGCUAAUACCGGAUAUGCCCUUAUGGGGAAAGGUUUACUGCCGAAGGAUCGGCCCGCGUCUGAUUAGCUUGUUGGUGGGGUAACGGCCUACCAAGGCGACGAUCAGUAGCUGGUCUGAGAGGAUGAUCAGCCACACUGGGACUGAGACACGGCCCAGACUCCUACGGGAGGCAGCAGUGGGGAAUAUUGGACAAUGGGCGCAAGCCUGAUCCAGCCAUGCCGCGUGAGUGAUGAAGGCCUUAGGGUUGUAAAGCUCUUUUGUCCGGGACGAUAAUGACGGUACCGGAAGAAUAAGCCCCGGCUAACUUCGUGCCAGCAGCCGCGGUAAUACGAAGGGGGCUAGCGUUGCUCGGAAUCACUGGGCGUAAAGGGCGCGUAGGCGGCCGAUUAAGUCGGGGGUGAAAGCCUGUGGCUCAACCACAGAAUUGCCUUCGAUACUGGUUGGCUUGAGACCGGAAGAGGACAGCGGAACUGCGAGUGUAGAGGUGAAAUUCGUAGA
This 557-nucleotide ribosomal RNA is filed under the name uncultured bacterium. Its description in RNAcentral is "bacterial SSU rRNA". It matches the Rfam family "Bacterial small subunit ribosomal RNA", at positions 102 to 694 of the family's 1533-position model. The record is from RNAcentral.